GACGAACCGUCCAACCGUUAUUCGGAAUUACUGGGCUUAAAGGGUGCGUAGGCGGCGCGGAAAGUUGGGUGUGAAAUCCCUCGGCUCAACCGAGGAACUGCGCCCAAUACUACCGUGCUUGAGGGAGAUAGAGGUGAGCGGAACUUAGGGUGGAGCGGUGAAAUGCGUUGAUAUCCUAAGGAACACCGGUGGCGAAAGCGGCUCACUGGAUCUCUUCUGACGCUGAGGCACGAAAGCUAGGGUAGCGAACGGG
RNAcentral lists this ribosomal RNA (253 nucleotides) under uncultured bacterium. RNAcentral describes it as "partial 16S ribosomal RNA". It matches the Rfam family "Bacterial small subunit ribosomal RNA", at positions 524 to 776 of the family's 1533-position model. The record is from RNAcentral.